GCUCAGUGGGUAAGAGCACUGCUGAUCUUGCAGAGGACCUGGGUUCAAUUCCCAG
Non-coding RNA from Mus musculus (house mouse), 55 nucleotides. The record is from Rfam. NCBI's taxonomy places the organism in Eukaryota, Metazoa, Chordata, Mammalia, Rodentia, Muridae.